Lolium rigidum is the source of this 1165-nucleotide long non-coding RNA. RefSeq lists it as uncharacterized. Lineage: Eukaryota; Viridiplantae; Streptophyta; Magnoliopsida; Poales; Poaceae. The transcript is spliced from 3 exons. The record is from RefSeq and is a predicted model, not a curated record.
UCUUCUUUUGGUAGUCGACAGUAUGUGUUUCUUUACUUGUGAGUACAGUAGAGGGCUACCGGUGUUCUCUUAAAUUAAUAGCAUACAUUUAGUAUAUGUGGGUUCCUUUUUAAAUUGUUGCUCCUUUGUUUAUCAGCUCAAUUUGGAAUAGCUAAGCAAGUAAUUUUUUUGGAUUGAAUGCAAAGAGACUCUCCAUUCAGUCCUUAAAGUUAGUUGUAGCUCUGAUUAAAAAUGUUUCUGUAGUAGUAUAUUUCACUGUCGUUGUGGACUUCUGUAGUCAUAUACUUUUAUUAAUAGGAAAAUAUAACGAAUGGUAAUUUUAAAUUGCAGAUCCAAUGCAAUGAGAUUUGAUUGUUCUGGUUUGCGAUAUUGAACCUAUCAAGACAUUGAGUGAUGAUACACAUAAGUUAUAUAGAUGAGCUCCACAUGAAGUGCUUUGGAUGGACCGAACCUGAAGAUUUAGAAGAUCGGCUUUUUAUAAUGCGUUCUGUUUUCUGAAAGUGUUCAUAAUUUUGUUGUGAAGCACGUCGAUGAUUACAGCCCUGUACCAAAUAUAGCAAGAAUACAAGAUUAGCUAAACAUAAAAUCGAUGCAGCAGGUGGCCCUUUGAACCUGCAACUCAGUCAAGUUCGUAAGAUGCUUUUCAUCCUCAGGAACCAUUGGGCACCUUCAGCAUUUUGUGUAUCCUUCAAGCUCGAGACAGAUCCGGACAUCCUUCUACCGAAGGCAGAGAUGGCCUUAAGAAAGUACGGUAUGAAUGUCAUGGUGGCGAACGAGCUAGCGAACUACAAAGACGUGGUUGUCAAGGUCACAAGUAGCGGGAAGACAACUGGGAGCAGGCGGAGCAAGGCAGAUGACCUUGAGGAAUAGAUCAUCGUUCUCCUGGUAAAGAUGCACUCGGAUCACAUUACGCGGCCCAAUUCAGACCAAGAAACAUGAGACGUUUAUACUCAGAUGAGAAAGGCAAGUAUCUGCAAUCUCUAGUGGCAUCUGCAUCCAAGUAUGUUAGAAGCUGCAUAGAUCCGGGCAAGCCUGAUUCUAACUUUGUUUUCACAUGAUGUUGGCGGUGGGCAAUGCGACCUGCAAGAAUAGGAUGGAUCAUUAACAUCCUGUCCUGUUGUAAAUGGUGCUACAAAGAUAUACUAUCUGUUCAGGUGCACCAGUA